Molecule: ribosomal RNA, 794 nt
Filed under: Streptomyces violascens
Lineage: Bacteria; Bacillati; Actinomycetota; Actinomycetes; Kitasatosporales; Streptomycetaceae
Description: bacterial SSU rRNA
Rfam family: Bacterial small subunit ribosomal RNA
Source: RNAcentral
ACACGGGGGGGAGCUAACCAUGCAGUCGUACCAUGGUAACCAUUUCGGGCGGGGAUUAGUGGCGAACGGGUGAGUAACACGUGGGCAAUCUGCCCUGCACUCUGGGACAAGCCCUGGAAACGGGGUCUAAUACCGGAUAUGACUGUCCAUCGCAUGGUGGAUGGUGUAAAGCUCCGGCGGUGCAGGAUGAGCCCGCGGCCUAUCAGCUUGUUGGUGAGGUAGUGGCUCACCAAGGCGACGACGGGUAGCCGGCCUGAGAGGGCGACCGGCCACACUGGGACUGAGACACGGCCCAGACUCCUACGGGAGGCAGCAGUGGGGAAUAUUGCACAAUGGGCGAAAGCCUGAUGCAGCGACGCCGCGUGAGGGAUGACGGCCUUCGGGUUGUAAACCUCUUUCAGCAGGGAAGAAGCGAAAGUGACGGUACCUGCAGAAGAAGCGCCGGCUAACUACGUGCCAGCAGCCGCGGUAAUACGUAGGGCGCAAGCGUUGUCCGGAAUUAUUGGGCGUAAAGAGCUCGUAGGCGGCUUGUCACGUCGGUUGUGAAAGCCCGGGGCUUAACCCCGGGUCUGCAGUCGAUACGGGCAGGCUAGAGUUCGGUAGGGGAGAUCGGAAUUCCUGGUGUAGCGGUGAAAUGCGCAGAUAUCAGGAGGAACACCGGUGGCGAAGGCGGAUCUCUGGGCCGAUACUGACGCUGAGGAGCGAAAGCGUGGGGAGCGAACAGGAUUAGAUACCCUGGUAGUCCACGCCGUAAACGGUGGGCACUAGGUGUGGGCAACAUUCCACGUUGUCCG